Pezoporus flaviventris is the source of this 345-nucleotide long non-coding RNA. RefSeq lists it as uncharacterized. NCBI's taxonomy places the organism in Eukaryota, Metazoa, Chordata, Aves, Psittaciformes, Psittacidae. The record is from RefSeq and is a predicted model, not a curated record. The transcript is spliced from 3 exons.
UUCAGGGACUGUGACUUUACCUUGUUGAAGCCACUUCGGCAGCUUUUUACCACUAUGGAAAACAACUUGUGUCACGACAUGGCCAAGCCUGGGAUUCUCCUUCCUCUUCAUCGUGCACUUGCAGAACUCUUCUUUGUUACAGAAAACAGGGUUAGCGAGCUUGGAUCUCUACAAGAGUAUUUGCUUGCCUUAAAUACUGAAGAUCAACUUCAUCACUGCACAGCACAGGCCCUGAAAAACAUUGCUGCUAUCAGCCUUGCCAUUAGCUAUCCAGACAAAUCACCAAGUUUCUGGAAUGUUUAAUACUGGCUCAGGCCAGAGUGCAUGGCAUAGAGUAGUUUGUCC